This 1604-nucleotide unclassified non-coding RNA is filed under the name Hevea brasiliensis (rubber tree). Lineage: Eukaryota; Viridiplantae; Streptophyta; Magnoliopsida; Malpighiales; Euphorbiaceae. The record is from RNAcentral.
GUAAAUCUUGCUUGUCAAUUAUUAUAUUUGGGAGAUUCACCAAUCGCUCAAAUACAGGAGAGCACAGGAAUCAUGCAGCCAGCCAACCAUGUAGCAAAAGUAGCGUCCACACUGAACCGGAAAAAACUGAAGUAGGCCAAAGGAAGGGACGUGUAUGACAUUUUCUGAAACCUUUAAACAAUCCAAGACCGUAAAUACCACAUUAUCAACAGCACAAAUGGCAUCGAUGGCGACACAUUUUUCCGCCGCCCUAUUCCUUCUCCCCAUUGGGCUGCGCCGCCUCUUCUGCUCGUCUUCUCUCUACAUCAAGAACCCAUCUUUGUUCAGAUCCAAAACGUGGUAUCUCUCUGAUACCAAAUGGAAGAAUCUCGAUUUAUAUAUCCUCACUAUAGCCCUCCCAAUUGCUUCUUUCUCUGAAAUCUUCCUUUUCUUGUCUUCUAACGGUCACCCCGCUUAUCGUUUCUCCUUCAUGCAUCAAUCCCUGGUUCUUUUCCUUUAUUGGGCGUUGAUCAUUUUAUUUCUUUUGCGAGAUACCAUUGACCCAUUAACCCUUAAUGAUAAUUUCUUGUUUGUAUUAACGGGGAUUGUGUUUUUCAUGGAGUAUACAAUUAUUGGGAACGGGAUUUCUGGUCACGUUGGUGGGGUUUUUUACGGUUUAUGUGGUGAUUUGACCAUUAUUUGUGGUUGCUGCUGUUUGUAUUUGGCUAUUAGGCCUACUGCCUUUUUCAUGGAGUUUUGUUUUUGUUGUGGGUUGGUUUUAAGGGGGACUUGGUUUUUGCAAGCUGGUUUGUGCUUGUAUACUGAGGUUUUUGCGUUCAAGGGUUGUCAUAAAAUAAUGGUUUCGCCAGAAAGUGAAAAUGCUGAGUUGAAGUGUGAUCUCGAAGAGGAUGGAUUGAGGGGUGUGGCAUUGGUUAAUUUGUUAUUUAUUGGGCAUGCAAUUGGGGUCUUGCUUGUGAGCUUUGGGGAGUUUGGGCUGUUGUCAAGUCAUAGGGAUUCAAGGCAUUGUGAGGCAAGUGGUCCAUUACUGACAGAACUCCAUUCAGACAGUGCUUUGAUGCGCACACUUCCUGAAUUUGAGCUGGAAUAGAGCGCUUGUAUGGCUUUUUUGCCUUUCAUCUCUCUCGUACAAUUUUGCUUUAAUCAACUUUUAAAAAUUUUCUUUUCUUGUAAGUGUAUGCCUUUUUUUUUCCCCUAUCCUCUGACAUAUUGGUUGUUUGCACAAAGAAAAUCGUUAAGUAGCUUGUCUUUUAAAUCAUGAAACUACUCUUAUAUAUGUUAGUUUAUGGUAAAGUUUAUGAAUUAUUUUCUGAGGUUAUUAAGGCUGGCAACAUCGUUAGUGUUAUUAAACUGGUAGAGGUGGAUUAAUUUUCUGUCUUAUUUAUGUCUUUUGACAAGUGGUUAAGCUCAUAAUGUUAAUGCCACAAAGAAGUCUAGUGCAAAAACAUUACAUUUUGCUGAAAAUGCUCGUAUUUAUUUAGCUUAAUAUGACACUGAUGCUGUGCAACAUAAUGAAAUGGAAGUUCUAUCAUUUUUUGCUCUGUGCUAAAAGCAAGCAGCACACAUAUUUCUGAAGUUAAACGAAAAAAUCUUUUUUUUUUUUUUUU